AACAUUUAGGGCAUGUUUGAUAACGUUUUUAGAAACACGUUUCUAGUGUUUUUAUUUUAAGAAACAAUAUAAACGAAAUAAAAACCGUUUGACAAACAUGUUCAUUUUCACUCAAUUUCAGAAACAUAAAUUGCUAUUUAUAACUAUUUCCUGUUCCAGAAACAGAUAUGAUGGAGCGAGUUUCACUUGUUUCAUCGUUUCUUGAAACAACUUUUAUGUUCAAAAGUGGAACCAAGCCCCGAUAAUUUCCCCUCCACAUUACAGACACCUCUCUUCUUCACUGUUCUGCGGAGAGGUUCUCCCAUCGUACUGCUCUGCAACCUUCCAAGACGAGGUCGUCUAACACCUCUCAAACGCUGGCUUGUGAAGCUCCCCUGGAGCAACUCGUGAAACUCGAUCAGACGAGGAAUCAGCUACAUAGAUUCCUCCCACAGUGCUGCAAAUCGUACCUAGGCGUGAGUUGUUAAGCAAGAUUGUGAGGUCUAUUAAAAGAGGAGAGGGCGAUCGAUCUUCGACAUCCGACCUCCAUUGCAAAGGCGUCGCAGAGACGUGAGUUAUUUCUUCUUCAACCUUCUCCUAAAUCGAUUGAACUUCGACGACGAGUGGAGGAGUUUUUUUAAAUCAGACAACAGCCGCGCCCUAACUAAUUUCCGCUUCAAAUAAACAGGUAUUGUUUCAUGUACUCUUCUACCUCUGUUCUCUUCUAUACAAAUUUAUGGUCGGUAGGAGACUGUUCGUCCCAUAUACACAGAAGCCCUAAAUAAAUUUCCCCUUCUUUGAUUUGGGUAUGUGAAGCUCCAGAUAAAUUCUUCUAACAUCAUAUUCUGUAGAAUAUUGUUGAUCAAGAUCUCCAGGGCUUCAAAGGCCUGGUCACUGGUUGCUUUCGGCUUGAACCACUCUGACAAUCGAAAGGUUUUCUUCCAGAAUAGUCGUCUUUUGAUUCCCUAUGAUGAGCUGCAAUUGCUCCAAUGUCUUCAGCUGUUGAGGUGAUGGUUCAAUCCUUGUUCAAACACCUUCUUAUAAUAUCUGAAUCACAGAAGCUUAUGAUUCAAAUUAAUUUUCUCAAUACCUGGGAGAGUGACUUUGCAGUUCCAAGUAUAAAGCCAAUGGAUCGACCUAUUAUGUAACACUGCUAGAAGUAAUGUGUUCCUUUCUCGUCUAAGAGGGUAUCCUGCGACCCAAAAAACUUUACACAACAUUGAUUUUUCUCCACUGAUUUUGAAUGCAACUGCUUGAAACCCAACCAUCCCAGGCUUUGCAACUAUUGUAUUCUGCAAACAUACAGAUUAUGAACUUGCAAAUAUGAACUACCUUUUGUCAUAGAAUGCACUAUGGUGUAAGUUUAAAUAAGGAAAUUGGUCGUUCGGUCGCU
Molecule: long non-coding RNA, 1372 nt
Organism: Macadamia integrifolia
Lineage: Eukaryota; Viridiplantae; Streptophyta; Magnoliopsida; Proteales; Proteaceae
Exons: 2
Source: RefSeq, a predicted model, not a curated record